Molecule: transfer RNA, 104 nt
Filed under: Phaeomoniella chlamydospora
Lineage: Eukaryota; Fungi; Ascomycota; Eurotiomycetes; Phaeomoniellales; Phaeomoniellaceae
Rfam family: tRNA
About the family: Transfer RNA (tRNA) molecules are approximately 80 nucleotides in length. Their secondary structure includes four short double-helical elements and three loops (D, anti-codon, and T loops).
Source: Rfam by way of RNAcentral
GUCUCCGUGGCGUAAUCGGUUAACGCGUCCGACUGUUAUUAAUUAUUAAUUACUAAUUACUAAAAGAGAUCGGGAGAUUCACAGUUCGAUUCUGUGCGGGGACG